This 1078-nucleotide long non-coding RNA is filed under the name Apteryx haastii (Great spotted kiwi). Its description in RNAcentral is "lncRNA (ENSAHAG00000006434.1)". The record is from RNAcentral. Lineage: Eukaryota; Metazoa; Chordata; Aves; Apterygiformes; Apterygidae.
AGCUCUUGCCAUGACCUGAACCUCAGCAAAAAUCUGGUUUGUCCUGGCUUGUAAAAACUGGAGCAGCACAAAGACAGAAUCUAAAAUUGACUGGGUGAAGGUGUGUCAUAAGAUCUCCCCAUUACUAACCCUAAACAGAAGGGAACACRUAUAGGAUUUUUGACAGGAACUUCUCAUAUUUCACAUACAAGAUUUCAGGAUUUUCAUGCUGGGUAGGGUAUUUAUGCAAGGAUUUUUAUUUUUUUUUGGUAACAGGCAUGAAAGCUAAGCACAAAUUCAGCAGCACAGUGUUGCAUUUGAGUUCACUUUAACAGAACUCCCAUGAGAUUUUUGUGGAAGAACCAGGCAAAUUCCAAGCRGCCACCUGCUCGUUACCUGCACAGCUGCCUCUGUGGAAGAGGAACCCGUUUCCUUUUCAAAGAGCCAUUGCUAGAGAUCUGCUCCCACCAAAGAGCCAUUCAUUUCCCAUCAUCAGAAGUCACAUUAUGAGCUGCCUUUUUCUGCUCUGAGGAACUGGAGCAGAAGCUGUGGGCCCACUUCCAUCUAUAGGGCAGGGGAGUUUCCAUAAGCUGACGAGAGUAGCUCUUACUGAAAUCUGGACUAAGCUAACUGGCAAGUAUGAGAUAUUCAGAGAGGAGGAAACCAAGCAAGUGAGCAGGGUGGGGGGGAACCGAGUGAGCAGGAGGUGGAACAAGCAAGCGAAUGGGCAGUCCUGAAAGUGCUCCAAAACUCAGAAAGUUUGCAAGAUCGGGUACCUUGCAUCUACAUCAUCUUGUUGGUAACAAAACCCAUCCACCUUAAAAUCCUACUUGUUUCUGAAGCAAAUCACAUGGCUCUAAGAUUGCAGCCAUCAUUAAUCAUCAAUAUAUUUAAGCCAAGCACCAUAAGAUUUAAGAAAGCAUACCCAAGCCUAGCAUGUUUGCAUCACGCAGUGUGAUCAGUAGAAAGGCACAGCAUGUACUCAGCACUUGACCAUUAAUUUAUUUGGAAAAAAAUAACAUCAGURAAAGAAUAAGGCUUAUACAAACACUGACUGUGUUUUUAUCAGCAGAUCAGCUCCAACAGCACAGCCUGCCAG